UACGAACCACCCAAACGUUAUUCGGAAUUACUGGGCCUAAAGGGUGCGUAGGCGGCGCGGAAAGUCAGGUGUGAAAUCCCUCGGCUCAACCGAGGAACUGCGCUUGAAACUACCGUGCUCGAGUAAGACAGAGGUGAGCGGAACUUCGGGUGGAGCGGUGAAAUGCGUUGAUAUCCGAAGGAACACCGGUGGCGAAAGCGGCUCACUGGGCCUUUACUGACGCUGAUGCACGAAAGCUAGGGGAGCAAACGGG
RNAcentral lists this ribosomal RNA (253 nucleotides) under uncultured bacterium. Its description in RNAcentral is "partial 16S ribosomal RNA". It matches the Rfam family "Bacterial small subunit ribosomal RNA", at positions 524 to 776 of the family's 1533-position model. The record is from RNAcentral.